This is a non-coding RNA of Pelobates cultripes (western spadefoot toad), 150 nucleotides long. NCBI's taxonomy places the organism in Eukaryota, Metazoa, Chordata, Amphibia, Anura, Pelobatidae. The record is from the annotation of a GenBank genome assembly.
GAGAGGUUGAGAGGUCUCUCUCUCUCUCUUUCUCUCUCUCUUGCUCUCUCUCUUGCGCUCUCUCUCUCUCUCUCUCUCUAUAUAUAUAGAUAGAGAGAGAGAGAGAGAGAGAGAGAGAGAGAGAGAUAGAUAGAUAGAUAGAUAGAUAGA